RNAcentral lists this non-coding RNA (149 nucleotides) under Pseudodesulfovibrio aespoeensis. Its description in RNAcentral is "Desulfovibrio aespoeensis FMN sequence". It matches the Rfam family "FMN riboswitch aptamer (RFN element)". From Rfam's summary of the family: The RFN element is a highly conserved domain that is found frequently in the 5'-untranslated regions of prokaryotic mRNAs that encode for flavin mononucleotide (FMN) biosynthesis and transport proteins. Lineage: Bacteria; Pseudomonadati; Thermodesulfobacteriota; Desulfovibrionia; Desulfovibrionales; Desulfovibrionaceae. The record is from RNAcentral.
ACUUGUUCUCAGGGCGGGGUGAAAGUCCCCACCGGCGGUGAUCCGGCCUUGGCCGGAAAGCCCGCGAGCGCUCCCCCGCGCGGGGGAGGUCAGCAGACCCGGUGCGACUCCGGGGCCGACGGUAACAGUCCGGAUGAAAGAGAAUGAGA